UGGGCUGUGGCUCAGUGGUAGAGUGCUCACCUAGUACGUGCGAGGCCCUGGGUUUGACCCUCAGCACCACAU
Molecule: transfer RNA, 72 nt
Filed under: Ictidomys tridecemlineatus (thirteen-lined ground squirrel)
Lineage: Eukaryota; Metazoa; Chordata; Mammalia; Rodentia; Sciuridae
Description: Spermophilus tridecemlineatus (thirteen-lined ground squirrel) tRNA
Rfam family: tRNA
About the family: Transfer RNA (tRNA) molecules are approximately 80 nucleotides in length.
Source: Rfam by way of RNAcentral